RNAcentral lists this ribosomal RNA (468 nucleotides) under uncultured bacterium. RNAcentral's name for it is "partial 16S ribosomal RNA". It matches the Rfam family "Bacterial small subunit ribosomal RNA", at positions 28 to 507 of the family's 1533-position model. The record is from RNAcentral.
GACGAACGCUGGCGGCGUGCUUAACACAUGCCAGUCGAACGGAAAGGCCCUGCUUUUGUGGGGUGCUCGAGUGGCGAACGGGUGAGUAACACGUGAGUAACCUGCCCUUGACUUUGGGAUAACUUCAGGAAACUGGGGCUAAUACCGGAUAGGAGCUCCUGCUGCAUGGUGGGGGUUGGAAAGUUUCGGCGGUUGGGGAUGGACUCGCGGCUUAUCGGCUUGUUGGUGGGGUAGUGGCUUACCAAGGCUUUGAGGGGUAGCCGGCCUGAGAGGGUGACCGGCCACAUUGGGACUGAGAUACGGCCCAGACUCCUACGGGAGGCAGCAGUGGGGAAUAUUGCACAAUGGGCGGAAGCCUGAUGCAGCAACGCCGCGUGCGGGAUGACGGCCUUCGGGUUGUAAACCGCUUUCGCCUGUGACGAAGCGUGAGUGACGGUAAUGGGUAAAGAAGCACCGGCUAACUACGUG